Molecule: long non-coding RNA, 498 nt
Organism: Mastomys coucha (southern multimammate mouse)
Lineage: Eukaryota; Metazoa; Chordata; Mammalia; Rodentia; Muridae
Exons: 2
Source: RefSeq, a predicted model, not a curated record
UAGGUCCUGGAGCAGCUGAACUCGCAUCUCCGUCUGCUGUUCCAGGCAUUUUUGUUGCUCUACCAGCUGGGCUCGGAUUUCUGAGGAAAGACAAGAAUCCCCCGGUGAUGUCAUGGAAGUGACCACGAAGCGCAAACAGGCAAGGCAUGCAGAGUGACUCCUGUCACAGGGGCAGCCCUGUUUACGGCCUCUGCUGGAGUCCUGUACCCAGAUGACUCUGCUGUGUAUCAAGAAGAGAAAAACUAACAAGCAUACACGGCAACUUUUAGAAACUCCAUUGAGAAGAGAUUGAACAGUUCUGAGCAAAGAUGGUAAGAGAAUCAGACCCGCGUCGCAGAGAAUGGCAUAUGUAAACAGGUGAAAUGCUAAAUACUGUACCCUUCACAAGAUCAUUUCAUCUGUAAGUGUAUAGUCCUCCUCCCAAUGGUGAAUUAGUAGCCAAAAUGAACUACCACCACCAGCAGCAACAACAAAAUAAAAUAACAUUUUUAAAAUCCA